GGCAGUUUCAUCAAUAAAAUGGAGAUGUUCACAUCUAGCCCAUGGAGCUGUUUUAAGGGUUUAAGUGAAAUAUAAAUAACUUAGCACAAUAAAUGAGCAUUGUUAUUAUUCUUAUUAUUGUUCUUGUCCAGUACCUGUAUUUACUGUCUCCUUAGUCUAGUUAAAAUCAUACUUUGGCCAUUUGUCCUUUCUAUAGUUGAAAAGUUAAUAUUUUUGUAGCAGGGGUUAGGCCAAUUAUGUAAAGUAGCAUAUAAACAUGGUAAGAUUUCAAAGAUGUUACUUUCUUUUCAGAAUAUCUAUUCCCUAGGACAUUGUAGCUAUGUUUUCCUUCCUUUCGUAGCAAUUGGGGCACUGAAGAAGAUGAGACCCAGAGUUACCACAAUGGCAAUUCAGACCCUCGAGGAUUUGGUCAUAUUGGAAUUGCUGUUCCUGAUGUAUACAGUGCUUGUAAAAGGUUUGAAGAACUGGGAGUCAAAUUUGUGAAGAAACCUGAUGAUGGUAAAAUGAAAGGCCUGGCAUUUAUUCAAGAUCCUGAUGGCUACUGGAUUGAAAUUUUGAAUCCUAACAAAAUGGCAACUUUAAUGUAGUGCUGUGAGAAUUCUCCUUUGAGAUUUUAGAAGGAAGGAAACAAUGUGAUUCAAGAUAUUUACAUACCAGAAGCGUCUAGGACUGAUGGAUCACUGUCCCGAUUCAAAUUCUUCUUCAGUCCAUUUCCCCUUCCUAUUUCAGCUGUUCCUUUUCACCUAACUGUUCAGUCAUUCUGGUUUUCAAGUAGUGCUUUAUCUUAUGUCCUUGAAUACAGUUGUAUAACUUUAUUUUUUAGGUAAUAAUUAGAACAGUUCCCUUCAGAGGCUGCAUUUGUCUUCUUCUGCCUCCUAAAUAUUACUUCUCUUCAAAUCUGCCUUUGAAUCAUCAUUUAAAAAAAAAUUAACAUGUUUUUGUUGUGGUUAUCUUCUGGGGUUUCAAUUCCUCAGAAACAACUUUGUUCACAAUGGAAAGUAAAGAACACUGAAACAGUGUUCUUUCAGUAAAGUACAAAGUGUUUAUUUUACAAAAGAGAAGGUACUCUUGAGAGCAAUUCAAAAUCAUGCUGACAAGGAUACUGAUAGAAAAAGUAAUUUCUUCUUAUUAUAAAGUACAUUUAAAGUUCAAGGACUAACCUUAUUUAUUUGGGAAAGGGGAGGAGGAAGGAAAUGAUAUGGUACCCAGACACUGGGCUAGGCUGCAACUUUAUCUCAUUUAAUACUCCCAGCUAUCGUGUGAGAAAGAAAGCAGGCUAGGCAUGUGAAAUCACUUUCAUGGAUUAUUAAUGGAUUUAAGAGGGCAUAAAUCAGCUCAACUCAAGAUUUCAUAAUCACUUUUAGUAUUUAGAUUGUGCCUCAAAGUUGUAGUACCUCACAAUACCUCCUCCACUGGUUUCUUGUUGUAAAAACCUUCAGUGAGUUUGACCAUUGUGCUCUUGGCUCUUGGGCCUGAGUACUGUGGUGAGGGAGUAAACACUAGAAGUCUUUAGUACAAAACUGCUCUAGGGACACCUGGUGUUUAUAUUUCUCAUAAAGACAAGUGGUGUUUAUAUUUCUCAUAAAGAGUCUUCCCUACCCCAAGGUAUUCAUGAUGCCAGUAGCCAUAUAUGAUAAAUUAUGUUCACAGUGGUAACUUAGUUAUCAGAAAUUAGCUCAGUGGUCUUCCCUGCCAUGAGUCACGUUUGAUGGGUUUUUAAAAAUCAAAGUGAUUUUGAAAAUCUCUAAUGGCUCAGAAAAUAAAAACAUCCAGUUUGUGGAUGACUAUAUUUAGAUUUUCUCUAGACUCUAGUGGAAAACCUUUGGAAAGGCCAUGCCAACCGUGCUUGUACUGCUGGAAGCACUUUACGUUUCCUUUUUGGGUGAAAUGGAUUUAUGUGAGUGCUUUAAACAAAUAGCAAUAGUUAUAGACUGAAAUAAAAAGAAACUUCAAAUAAGA
This 1959-nucleotide small RNA is filed under the name Pongo abelii (Sumatran orangutan). Its description in RNAcentral is "processed transcript". The record is from RNAcentral. Lineage: Eukaryota; Metazoa; Chordata; Mammalia; Primates; Hominidae.